This 332-nucleotide RNase P RNA is filed under the name Tissierellia bacterium S5-A11. Its description in RNAcentral is "bacterial RNase P". It matches the Rfam family "Bacterial RNase P class A". Rfam says of the family: Ribonuclease P (RNase P) is a ubiquitous endoribonuclease, found in archaea, bacteria and eukarya as well as chloroplasts and mitochondria. The record is from RNAcentral. Lineage: Bacteria; Bacillati; Bacillota; Tissierellia.
UGAGUAAGUCAUUCAAUCGCAUGUGCAAACAUGAGGAAAGUCCGUGCUCCACAGAGCAAGGAUGCCGGAUAACGUCCGGUGGAGGCGACUCUAAGGCUAGUGCAACAGAAAUAUACCGCCACAAUGUGGUAAGGGUGGAAAGGUAAGGUAAGAGCUUACCAGCAACUUGGAGACAAGUUGGCUCUGUAAACCCCAUCCGGAGCAAGACCAAAAAGGAUCAAAAGGUGGCUGCUCGUCACCUCCAAGAGGUAGGUCGCUGGAGGUAUUUGGCAACAAAUAUCCUAGAUAGAUGAUUGAUAAAACAGAACACGGCUUAUAGACUUGCUCAUACA